Molecule: transfer RNA, 75 nt
Filed under: Hemidactylus frenatus (common house gecko)
Lineage: Eukaryota; Metazoa; Chordata; Lepidosauria; Squamata; Gekkonidae
Description: tRNA-Leu
Rfam family: tRNA
About the family: Transfer RNA (tRNA) molecules are approximately 80 nucleotides in length. Their secondary structure includes four short double-helical elements and three loops (D, anti-codon, and T loops).
Source: RNAcentral
GCUAGGGUGGCAGAGACAGGUUUAUGCACAAGACCUAAGCCCUUGUUCACAAAAGUUCAAAUCUUUUCCCUAACA